This 352-nucleotide unclassified non-coding RNA is filed under the name uncultured fungus. RNAcentral describes it as "partial contains 5.8S ribosomal RNA and internal transcribed spacer 2". The stretch from base 1 to 134 matches the Rfam family "5.8S ribosomal RNA", at positions 22 to 154 of the family's 154-position model. Lineage: Eukaryota; Fungi. The record is from RNAcentral.
UGGUUCUGGCAUCGAUGAAGAACGCAGCGAAAUGCGAUAAGUAAUGCGAAUUGCAGAAUUCCAGUGAGUCAUCGAAUCUUUGAACGCACAUUGCGCCCUUUGGUAUUCCGAAGGGCAUGCCUGUUCAAGCGUCAUUAUCACCCCUCAAGCCCAUGGGCUUGGUGUUGGACGGCCGGUCGGGCGAUCGAGCGAUCGACCCCUCCUAAAGACAAUGACGGCGGCCUGUGGUUCCCCCGGUACACUGAGUUUUUCAUCGAGCACGUAUCGGACGAGGGCACCCGGGGCCCGGUCCCCUCCUUGCUACAAGGAAACUUCUAUGGUUGACCUCGGAUCGGGUAGGAAUACGCGCUGA